UUUUACAACACUAUGUCUAGAAUUUCAGAAAGAAAUUGACAAGAAAGAAGAUUGUGAAGUGAGAUCUUUGUUGUUGGAGAAAGAUUCCCUCGAAAAUGAAAUUGAACUUAUGGAUAAGAAAAAUAAUGUCUUGGAAAAUUCAGUAUUGGCAUUUGUGGAGGAGAUUCUCGAAGAUCUUCAUAGUUCGAACUCAGCAUUACAAGUUCAGAUACAGAGGAGUACCUGGGAGAAUGAGAAAUUGCUUAAGGAUAUCAAUGAUUUGAAGACUACACUGCUUUCAGCAAUUGGGACCAGUGGUGACGGUCAAUAAGUUCCUUUGUUUAAGAAAUUAACAGGAGUUUCAAGUCAAGUAGUCAGGUUUGGUCAUUACUGAUAUUUUACUGAUGUUUAGAGAUGGAUAUAAACUUGGAAAGUUACUUAAGAACUAAACAGCAGCCUAUUUUCCUUGUUCUGGCAAGUGAUAAAAACAAAACAAUGCCAGAAUGCUAGUCCAUUUGGUUCAUUACUAAUUAGCAUCAUGAUAUCUCAUUCAUAUUCUCUUAUAUUACUUUAAUUUAACCUAGAUACGGAAUAUAUGAAGAGUAGCUUUUAGCAAAUAAAUGGCCACUGCGCACAUUUGAAUCGAAACUAAAUUAUGGUCACAAAGUCCCAGGCACCAGAUACAGGCAACAACUAUAUGAAGAGUUGAAGAUAAAAAAAUGAAGCACGUGUUAUUGCUCCAUUGAAGUUGGCAGGUGUAAAGAACUGCAAUCAGGUCCGUGAAAGAUAGUUUUCUUGUUGAAUUAUCUCCCUUGCGGAGUAUGAGCUUUACAGGGCAACAAACUCUUAGCGGUGAAGCAGCUUUUCACGUUUGGAUACAGUUGCCUCCUGAGGAUUAUGCUGCCUCACAUGUGGGUUAUGGCCACUAGCCUGUGUUGGUCAACUACAGACUUAACAAGCUUAUAGAUUUUGAAUUGGUACGACAACAUUAAGACAAGGAAGUAUUUCCAUUUCGUACUCUCUGUAUGUACUUUUUUUUCCCGCAGGGAGUGCUUGACAUCGUUCGUACCUGAAAAGAGACUUCCUCAUAUCAUUUUCUAGCUCUCAGAAGGACAAAUAUGCUCAUUUAAGUUGCUCUUUUUGGGUAGGGGUCCUGCUCGUAGUCUCCACAAGCUUGCUUAUUGAUAUUACGUAAUAGUAUGUGACUGUUUGGUCACCAUCAGCUUCAGUUUGGGACCCAUAAUUUAGAGCAUUGGUUCUGCUUAAGUAUGACAGUAAGAAACAAACUGGGGCUUUCAGGUUAUUAUUUGAGUAAGGUUGCUCAUAAAUGACUCAUUCAUCAAAUUGUGAAACGGCCAACCUUUUCUUCAAAUUGCAAGGUACGCAGGGCUUAGUUAUAUGCAGAACGAUGCCUAUCCAUCUAAAGGUUCUUGACUUGUCAAUUUUGAUUUAGCCCUUUCAACAUCAAAUGAGUGAGAAUCAUGCUCAUCGUUUACGGUACUAUCGACAACGCUGCAAUUAUUUUAACUUCCAGGUGAAUUUGAUGUGGAGGGUUUUGGGGAUCUGUAUUACUUAAACCUGCACAAUAAUUCAGAAUGCACGAUGCCGUUGC
Molecule: long non-coding RNA, 1591 nt
Organism: Vigna angularis (adzuki bean)
Lineage: Eukaryota; Viridiplantae; Streptophyta; Magnoliopsida; Fabales; Fabaceae
Exons: 3
Source: RefSeq, a predicted model, not a curated record